RNAcentral lists this long non-coding RNA (282 nucleotides) under Capsella rubella. RNAcentral describes it as "long non-coding RNA (CRUB_LNC002077)". Lineage: Eukaryota; Viridiplantae; Streptophyta; Magnoliopsida; Brassicales; Brassicaceae. The record is from RNAcentral.
GGGGGUAAAGGAAGAUAUGGGACAAAUAUUGCACUAAGUCUAUAGUAAGUAAAAGCAAUUUGAGGACCCAUGGGGCUAAAUUUUGAUUUGAUGCUCUUAAAAGACCCGUACAUAUUUUUAUUAUUAUCAUGAUUGCUUGUGUGUUUUUUUCUUUUUUUCUUUUUAGUUUGUAUUUCUACUAUUGAGAAAGAUGAUAGUAUAGUUGUUAUGAAUGGUAUAUAAGUUAAUUUUCACAUUUUGAAAAUGUAAUUCUACUUUUUCACCAUUUUCAACUCAUCAAGC